Pipistrellus kuhlii (Kuhl's pipistrelle) is the source of this 1381-nucleotide long non-coding RNA. RefSeq lists it as uncharacterized. The record is from RefSeq and is a predicted model, not a curated record. The transcript has 3 exons. Lineage: Eukaryota; Metazoa; Chordata; Mammalia; Chiroptera; Vespertilionidae.
AUCAGCCAAUCUUGCUCCAUUCCUUCCUGGCAAUCUUAAUGAAACACUCAAGGAGUUGUGGGUAAAUGAUGAUUCUGUCUUCAAAUAAGGAUCUGUGCGACCUUCCAAAGAACUCAGAAUGUCUUUCAUCACAGAAGGAAGAAUGCUAUGGUCUAUUUUUGAGAUGAUUUAUGGUACUUGGAGAUGAGCUUUGUGUGUCUAGCCUUUGGCUGGCAUUCAUUGAUUUCCCCCAUAAGCACCUGGGAUGCUGCAAUUGCUGAAGAAAUAUUUGUUGAUAACACUCAUCUACAUGACUAUAAAGAGAGUUGAAAACUCUUCACAUUAACUCCACAUUACUGCAAUUCAUUUCAUGUUUAAUGAGUUAUUCCAGAGAAAGGGCAGUAGUGCUUGUCAAAAAAAAUUAAAAGGACUUAGCAUAAAAGCUGGGUGGCAUGUUGACCACAACUACACAGAGACAAGUAAUGAAAGGAGGCAGGAGAGAAAGACGAAGCCCUGCUGGGGGCUCCGGCUGGCACGUGUGCAGUCAGUGUUCCCUGACUGCAUGUGGUGUGCAGCGGGCUGCCUCUGGUCGGUGUUUGGCUGAUGGCAGAAGGUGCCAGGAAAGUGUGAAAAGCCUUAUAAAUGUGUCCUCUGAACAUCGCUGACAAGCAACUGGACUGCAGCUCUCCCAUCUGUCUCUGGCAGGGCUGCCAUCAGCCUUCCACGUCCAGGGGAGCAGCUGUGUGAUAAAUCACUCAGCAGCCCAAGGAAGUCCAAGUGUUUUCUCAUGGUGAAGAGACGGCUGCUCUCCAGGUGGUGGUGUCUGUGGAAGAGGAGCAAGUCCUAUUGAGCCGUCUCCUGCAGGGAAUUAAGUAAAGGCUUAGGGAGGGUCCUCAGAAAAUCUAGAGGGUCUGAUAUUGUUGCACAAGGCUGAAAAUUGUAUAUAUGUUAUCACAGUUAAUGCUUGCAGCAGCUCUACAAAGUGGGUAUUGUAUUGCCAUUGCAGAUUCAGAAUCGAAGGCUCUGAAAGUGUAAAUCACUUUCUGCAGAUCACAUGUCUAGGAAAUGACAGAGUGGGGGACUUAACCAAGUGGGCUGUCUUCAAAUGUGUGUCUUCUCUAGGAUAAGGACCUACAUCACCCAAAGCUGGUCAAACAACUGAACUCUUCACUCAAGCAAAUCAUGCAUAUGCACUUCUCUCAUCCUUGAGUCAUUUCCUAUAUUAGUUUCAUCUCAAAAUGUAAAUCAACCUAUAUGACUGUGUCACGUCACAUAAAGCCUCGCUACUUAGUAUGUGUUCCAGGAUCCAGAAGCAUCACCUGAGAGCUCAGUGGUAAUACAGAUCAUACCCUACUUCACUUUAACAAUUUAACAAGAUCUCAGAGGGAUGCAUAAAAGUUUA